UAAAUUGACCAAUUUCAUGGACCAAUUGAUAUCGGAUUGAGUCCAAAACUUGGGGAACAUGAUAAUAUGGUGGGAGGAGUCAUUUGGUGGGUUUUGAGUGAAAUCAAAACUCUAGAACUAUGCGAUACACCAACCACUCCAUUUGAGAACGAACUUCGUACGAACCUAAAUUGCCUAAUUUCAUGUACCAAUUGAUUUCGGAUUGAGUCCAAAACUUGGGGAAAAUCAUAAUAUGAUGGGUGGAG
Molecule: long non-coding RNA, 245 nt
Filed under: Prunus persica (peach)
Lineage: Eukaryota; Viridiplantae; Streptophyta; Magnoliopsida; Rosales; Rosaceae
Description: long non-coding RNA (PPER_LNC001062)
Source: RNAcentral